Molecule: transfer RNA, 77 nt
Filed under: Streptosporangium album
Lineage: Bacteria; Bacillati; Actinomycetota; Actinomycetes; Streptosporangiales; Streptosporangiaceae
Source: Rfam by way of RNAcentral
AGGGAAAGCUUUCAGGAAAGCGGGGGACUUCACCUCUCAUAAUCCCUGGGUCGCGGGUUCGAGUCCCGCUCGCCCUA